Long non-coding RNA from Vitis vinifera (wine grape), 832 nucleotides. RefSeq lists it as uncharacterized. Lineage: Eukaryota; Viridiplantae; Streptophyta; Magnoliopsida; Vitales; Vitaceae. The transcript is spliced from 2 exons. The record is from RefSeq and is a predicted model, not a curated record.
UGCUAAAUAGAGGAUGUGCUCAGAAUAUAUCCUUGCAUGCGGAAAACCACACCCCACACCACUCUUUCAUAUCAUCUAUAUAUAUGGAUGUCAAUCCUGAAAGUGUUCAUCGACAUCAAGUGAGUAAAAUCAAAUGCAUGGAUGAAUUGCUGGGCAAUACUCCAUUGGCAGUUGGCCACUCGGCUGACCGCGGUUGACUUCACAAGUAGCAGACUAAGCUCACUGCCAAAGGAGAUUUGCCCCUCAAUUCAGCUGUGCAGUCAAUCCAUCCAGCCAUCUUAGCUUACCUUCCAACCCAAUGUAAGAGCUCCUUUUGUGGCGUGAGAGUGGCCGGCACAGGCACGGGACAUGCACUGACUUUAAUUAGUAUUAUAUUUGACAAAUCCGAUCUUUAUUUAGUUCAGUUAACUUCACUUGUUUAUGUUUUCAAUAUUACUUGUAAGAUACUGUCAAGUCUGCUGCAGGUGAAGAAUUUUGGUGGCCCACACCCCAAAAGGUUAAAUUGUUGGAAGAAAAUAGUGGACAUAUACUCGAGCGUGUCCAAAUAACUACAUGUAGUGCAAGAGACGAAACACAAAAACACAAAUAUGGAUAAUUCUGAAUGUGACUUGGGCUGGUCAGAGAUUGGAAGAUUAGUAUUCUGGCUUAAAACAAGCUAGCCAUUAAUAAAUUUGAUAUAUAUGGUCUAGUCUCUUUGAUAAAUGUUAUUACAAAGCGUGGGAAUCUUUGAGCAAUGUAGUACGCACCCCUACUAAGACUGCAGAGAAAAAUGGUUUGUACUAUACAUGCAUUAAGAGUACUACCAGAGAAGAAUGGUAUCCAUUUGAUGUGA